AACGAACGCUGGCGGCAUGCCUAACACAUGCAAGUCGAACGAGACCUUCGGGCCUUGUGGCGCACGGGUGCGUGACGCGUGGGAACUUGCCCUUAGGUUAGGAAUAACUCCCCGAAGGGGGUGUUAAUACAGGUUAAUGUCUUCGGACAAAGGAUUUCUCGCCUUUGGAUGGGCCCGCGUUGGUUUAGCUAGUUGGCAGGGUAAAAGCCUACUAAGGCGACGAUCCAUAGGUGGUCGGUGAGGAGGACCAGCGACACUGGGAUGCAGACACGGCCCAUACGCCAACGGGCGGCAGCAGUGGGUACAAUAGGACAGGGGGCGAAAUCCAGAACCAGCAAGGCCGCGUGAGUGAUGAAGGCCUUGUAGUUGUAAAGCGCUUUUACCCGGGAUGAUAAUGACAGAACCGGGAGAAUAAGCCCCGGCUAACUCCGU
This 432-nucleotide ribosomal RNA is filed under the name uncultured bacterium. RNAcentral's name for it is "partial 16S ribosomal RNA". It matches the Rfam family "Bacterial small subunit ribosomal RNA", at positions 29 to 506 of the family's 1533-position model. The record is from RNAcentral.